UACGGAGGGUGCAAGCGUUAUCCGGAUUCACUGGGUUUAAAGGGUGCGUAGGCGGGCAGGUAAGUCAGUGGUGAAAUCUCAGAGCUUAACUCUGAAACUGCCAUUGAUACUAUCUGUCUUGAAUUCUCUGGAGGUGAGCGGAAUAUGUCAUGUAGCGGUGAAAUGCUUAGAUAUGACAUAGAACACCAAUUGCGUAGGCAGCUCACUACGGAGUCAUUGACGCUGAGGCACGAAAGCGUGAGGAUCAAACAGG
Molecule: ribosomal RNA, 253 nt
Filed under: uncultured bacterium
Lineage: Bacteria
Description: partial 16S ribosomal RNA
Rfam family: Bacterial small subunit ribosomal RNA
Source: RNAcentral